UGAAACUUGCGUGGAACGGGCCACUCUGCCAGGCCGUUGUAAACAUGUUUCG
This 52-nucleotide microRNA precursor is filed under the name Ciona intestinalis (vase tunicate). RNAcentral describes it as "microRNA cin-mir-4000c precursor". Lineage: Eukaryota; Metazoa; Chordata; Ascidiacea; Phlebobranchia; Cionidae. The record is from miRBase by way of RNAcentral.